AUGUUAUUUAACUUCGUGGCAUCCGCGGCGCCCCCAGAGGGAGCCAUGUCGAACGGGGUUUACGUGCUUCCGAGCGCGGCCAACGGAGAGGUGAAGCCUGUGGUAUCCAGCACGCCUCUGAUGGACUUCUUGAUGCAGCUGGAGGACUAUAAGCCUACGAUCCCAGACGCAGUGACUGGUUACUACUUGAACCGUGCUGGCUUUGAGGCCUCAGACCCACGAUAAUCCGGCUCAUCUCCCUAGCUGCCCAGAAAUUCAUCUCAGAUAUUGCCAACGAUGCCCUACAGCACUGCAAAAUGAAGGGCACAACCUCUGGCAGCUCCCGGAGCAAGAGCAAGGACCGCAAGUACACUCUAACCAUGGAGGACUUGACCCCUGCCCUCAGCGAGUAUGGCAUCAAUGUGAAGAAGCCACACUGCUUCACCUGAGCCACAUCACCUAAAUGCACUUGUCUGUCCCCAUGUCCGCACACCAGCCUGUUUUCAUAAUAAAAUUUAUUGUGACAGGCAAAAAAAAAA
Ochotona princeps (American pika) is the source of this 518-nucleotide RNA transcript. It is a transcript of the gene named transcription initiation factor TFIID subunit 10-like, with no coding region annotated. The transcript has 2 exons. The record is from RefSeq and is a predicted model, not a curated record. Lineage: Eukaryota; Metazoa; Chordata; Mammalia; Lagomorpha; Ochotonidae.